AUUGAACGCUGGCGGCAUGCUUUACACAUGCAAGUCGAACGGAAGCGCGGGCCUUGGCCUGGCGGCGAGUGGCGAACGGGUGAGUAAUGCAUCGGAACGCGCCCAGUCGUGGGGGAUAGCGCGGCGAAAGCUGGAUUAAUACCGCAUACGAACUGAGGGUGAAAGCGGGGGACCGAAAGGCCUCGCGCUAUUGGAGCGGCCGAUGUCGGAUUAGCUAGUUGGUGGGGUAAAGGCCUACCAAGGCGACGAUCCGUAGCUGGUCUGAGAGGACGACCAGCCACACUGGAGCUGAGACACGGCCCAGACUCCUACGGGAGGCAGCAGUGGGGAAUUUUGGACAAAGGUGGCAACCCUGAUCCAGCCAUGCCGCGUGCGGGAAGGAGGCCUUCGGGUUGUGAACCGCUUUUUUUCGGGAAGAAAUCCUCUGGGCUAAUACCCCGGGGGUAUGACGGUACCGGAAGAAUAAGCACCGGCUAACUACGUG
Molecule: ribosomal RNA, 484 nt
Filed under: uncultured bacterium
Lineage: Bacteria
Description: partial 16S ribosomal RNA
Rfam family: Bacterial small subunit ribosomal RNA
Source: RNAcentral